GAUGAACGCUGGCGGCGUGCCUAAUACAUGCAAGUCGAGCGAACAGACGAGGAGCUUGCUCCUCUGACGUUAGCGGCGGACGGGUGAGUAACACGUGGAUAACCUACCUAUAAGACUGGGAUAACUUCGGGAAACCGGAGCUAAUACCGGAUAAUAUAUUGAACCGCAUGGUUCAAUAGUGAAAGACGGUUUUGCUGUCACUUAUAGAUGGAUCCGCGCCGCAUUAGCUAGUUGGUAAGGUAACGGCUUACCAAGGCGACGAUGCGUAGCCGACCUGAGAGGGUGAUCGGCCACACUGGAACUGAGACACGGUCCAGACUCCUACGGGAGGCAGGCGUAGGGAAUCUUCCGGAAUGGGCGAAAGCCUGACGGAGCAACGCCGCGGGGGUGAUGAAGGUCUUCGGAUCGUAAAACUCUGUUAUUAGGGAAGAACAAAUGUGUAAGUAACUAUGCACGUCUUGACGGUACCUAAUCAGAAAGCCACGGCUAACUACGUG
This 497-nucleotide ribosomal RNA is filed under the name uncultured bacterium. RNAcentral's name for it is "partial 16S ribosomal RNA". It matches the Rfam family "Bacterial small subunit ribosomal RNA", at positions 28 to 507 of the family's 1533-position model. The record is from RNAcentral.